RNAcentral lists this ribosomal RNA (397 nucleotides) under uncultured bacterium. RNAcentral's name for it is "partial 16S ribosomal RNA". It matches the Rfam family "Bacterial small subunit ribosomal RNA", at positions 360 to 774 of the family's 1533-position model. The record is from RNAcentral.
AAUCUUUCGCAAUGGGCGAAAGCCUGACGCAGCCAUGCCGCGCGAAAGAUUAGGGGCUUAUGAUUGUAAAAUUCUCUCACCGGGGACGAUAAUGACGGUACCAGGAGAAGAAGCCCCGGCUCACCUCGUGCCAGCAGCAGCGGUAAUACGAAGGGGGCGAGCGUUGCUUGGAAUUACGGGGCGUAAAGGGCGCGUAGGCGGAUCGUUAAGGCAGGUGUGAAAUCCCGGAGCUCAACCGCGGAACUGCCCUUGAUACUGGCGAUCUUGAGUAUGAGAGAGGUAUGUGGAACUCCGAGUGUAGAGGUGAAAUUCGUAGAUAUUCGGAAGAACACCAGUGGCGAAGGCGACAUACUGGCUCAUUACUGACGCUGAGGCGCGAAAGCGUGGGGAGCAAACA